GGCCUGGUAGCGCAGUGGUUAGCGCGCCCGAUUCACACUCGGGAGGGCGCGGGUUCAAAUCCCGGAUGAGGUCA
This is a non-coding RNA of Scylla paramamosain (green mud crab), 74 nucleotides long. The record is from the annotation of a RefSeq genome assembly. Lineage: Eukaryota; Metazoa; Arthropoda; Malacostraca; Decapoda; Portunidae.